Biomphalaria pfeifferi is the source of this 340-nucleotide non-coding RNA. The record is from the annotation of a GenBank genome assembly. NCBI's taxonomy places the organism in Eukaryota, Metazoa, Mollusca, Gastropoda, Planorbidae.
AACAAAAAAAAAAAAAAAAAAAGUAACCAAUUUAUAAAUUCUAAGAAGAUUAUUUUCUGAAUGUAUAUACCGUAUAUAUUCCAACCCAAAAAUUAAUCACACUACAAAACCUUCAACAAACAAUGUUAAUCAGUGAAAAUGUCUACUAUUGUUUUUCAGGUUCUAGCAAGAUCCAAUAGCCUAAUCAAAAUUUUGAUCACCAAUUUCAAAAGUUUCUAUGUAUUCCAAAACAAGGAGAUGGUGAGGUUCCAAAACAAAAUUGUAUCACAGACAUAAAAAUGUUGAUGUUAAAAAAAAACAAAGGACAUGAUUAAAAGAUAAAAAAAAAAAAAAAAAAAAU